Molecule: non-coding RNA, 69 nt
Organism: Podarcis lilfordi (Lilford's wall lizard)
Lineage: Eukaryota; Metazoa; Chordata; Lepidosauria; Squamata; Lacertidae
Source: the annotation of a GenBank genome assembly
GCAUGGUUCAGUCGGUAGAGCAGGAGAGUCUUAAUCUUGGGGUCAUGGGUUUGAGCCCCACGUGGGGCA